RNAcentral lists this ribosomal RNA (367 nucleotides) under uncultured bacterium. Its description in RNAcentral is "partial 16S ribosomal RNA". It matches the Rfam family "Bacterial small subunit ribosomal RNA", at positions 338 to 702 of the family's 1533-position model. The record is from RNAcentral.
CCUACGGGAGGCAGCAGUGAGGAAUAUUGGUCAAUGGACGCAAGUCUGAACCAGCCAUGCCGCGUGCAGGAUGACGGCUCUAUGAGUUGUAAACUGCUUUUGUACGAGGGUAAACCCCGAUACGUGUAUCGGGUUGAAAGUAUCGUACGAAUAAGGAUCGGCUAACUCCGUGCCAGCAGCCGCGGUAAUACGGAGGAGCCGAGCGUUAUGCGGAUUUAUUGGGUUUACAGGGUGCGUAGGCGGUUUGAUAAGUUAGAGGUGAAAUGUCGGGGCUCAACCCCGAAACUGCCUCUCAUACUGUUGGACUAGAGCAUAGUUGCGGUAGGCGGAAUGUCUUGUUUAGCGGUGCAAUGCUUAGAGAUCAUCC